UACGUAGGAGACAAACGUUAUCCGGAGUUACUGGGCGUAAAGGGCGUGUAGGUGGUUCUGUAAGUCUGGCGUGAAAUUUCUCGGCUUAACCGAGGCAGGUCGUCGGAUACUGCAGGGCUAGAGGACGGUAGAGGCGUGUGGAAUUCCGGGUGUAGUGGUGAAAUGCGUAGAGAUCCGGAGGAACACCAGUGGCGAAGGCGACACGCUGGGCCGUACCUGACACUGAUGCGCGACAGCAUGGGGAGCAAACAGG
Molecule: ribosomal RNA, 253 nt
Filed under: uncultured bacterium
Lineage: Bacteria
Description: partial 16S ribosomal RNA
Rfam family: Bacterial small subunit ribosomal RNA
Source: RNAcentral